RNAcentral lists this ribosomal RNA (644 nucleotides) under uncultured bacterium. RNAcentral's name for it is "bacterial SSU rRNA". It matches the Rfam family "Bacterial small subunit ribosomal RNA", at positions 79 to 719 of the family's 1533-position model. The record is from RNAcentral.
CUUGCUUCUCUUGAGAGCGGCGGACGGGUGAGUAAUGCCUAGGAAUCUGCCUGGUAGUGGGGGAUAACGUCCGGAAACGGACGCUAAUACCGCAUACGUCCUACGGGAGAAAGCAGGGGACCUUCGGGCCUUGCGCUAUCAGAUGAGCCUGGGUCGGAUUAGCUAGUUGGUGGGGUAAUGGCUCACCAAGGCGACGAUCCGUAACUGGUCUGAGAGGAUGAUCAGUCACACUGGAACUGAGACACGGUCCAGACUCCUACGGGAGGCAGCAGUGGGGAAUAUUGGACAAUGGGCGAAAGCCUGAUCCAGCCAUGCCGCGUGUGUGAAGAAGGUCUUCGGAUUGUAAAGCACUUUAAGUUGGGAGGAAGGGCAGUAAAUUAAUACUUUGCUGUUUUGACGUUACCGACAGAAUAAGCACCGGCUAACUCUGUGCCAGCAGCCGCGGUAAUACAGAGGGUGCAAGCGUUAAUCGGAAUUACUGGGCGUAAAGCGCGCGUAGGUGGUUCGUUAAGUUGGAUGUGAAAUCCCCGGGCUCAACCUGGGAACUGCAUUCAAAACUGACGAGCUAGAGUAUGGUAGAGGGUGGUGGAAUUUCCUGUGUAGCGGUGAAAUGCGUAGAUAUAGGAAGGAACACCAGUGGCGAA